AGCUGAGCAUGCGCACAUUCAGGCCGGCACCCCCUCGCCCCCACACCAUCACGAGGCCGCAGUCCACAGGUACCACCUGGCCCCCGUACUUACCUACCCUCCGCCCUGGUUCCAGAGGCGAUGAAAGAAGGUCUGUUGUCCAGGGCAAAGGAUUUUUAUUCAAUCUUUGCACUCCUCCCACCGGGACUCCUCACCCUCCAGAUUCCUCAGAACAGUGGGAGGGGAAGUUACUCCCCCCUAGGCGGAAAGGCAGUUAACAGACGUUCCUCUAUAGAAAGGUGGAGUCUCUGUGUGUUGCCCAUGCUGGCCUUGAACUCUUGGGCUCAAGUAAUUCCCUGCCUUAGCUUCUCAAGUAGCUGGGACUACAGAUUUACAUCACUGCAUGAUGGCUCAAAAAAAACCCUUUUAAAAAUCUGAUUCCUUAUCAAGCCUUGCCCUCUUCUGGUGACCCAGACUGAAAAGAUCAUCAAUUCCUUCACCAUGAAAGUGGUCUGCUAUGCAGUGCCUCCUGCUAUCUUAGUGAGUCAACAGCCAUGGAAUUCAAUAGCCCAGUGGGAUCUGGAUGCACUUUCUGAUAUGGAAACCUACUUAUUAACAAAUAAAUACCUUUUUCUCUGCCAUGUGGCAGGAUGGAGAUCUGUCAUUAUCCAAGCAGAAGCUGCAAAUGGAUAGGAUGAACAUCAACCUACCUGCAAUGCAUCCAAGGUCUGCAAAGACAUGGCUUCCUUCCCCAGCCUCCGAUAGGAGUACACUUGAAGAGAACUACCCUGGGAAAUUACGGACUGAGUAAACCCAAAGGCAGCAUGGAGUGCGGGCAGAAGCAUCGGGCCAUCUCCCACCUGGGGUGGGCAUGUGGGAGCCGAGGCCCAGCUGUUUCUGAGCAGGGCAGGUCCAUGAGGAAACUUGGUGUCCAGUUUUGGCUCCAGGGGAGUAGCUUUGACAGUGACCUCCACCCCAUCUUCACUUGAGAGACGCCCCAAAAUAUUUGCUGACAAUGAACUUUAAUCAUUUGGCGGUUGCAGCAGAUCUAAGAGACCUCUGCAGGGUUGCAAUUCUCAGUCUUGGAAUCUGUCCAGCCAUCUCAUAUACCACAACACCAUGACAGAGAGGCCCAGGAAUGAAAGGGAUAAAAACUGGAAAGAAAAAGCCCUACCAUAUAUGUAGUUUGGAAGCCACUUAAAUUGAAAUGGUAAAGAUAAAAUGGCAAUUGCUUCAUAGAGCCAAAGGAUAUUCGUAGGACAAAUUAAUAUUCUCUUUGAAUACAAACAGGUUCAAAGAUAAAAUAAGAAACAGCAGGAUGGUGCUUUGAGGCCAUUCUGAGAGGACUGAAAUUCUAAAAUUCCAGUACAGGAGGUAUUGACUUUAUGAUCUUCUGCUUUGGCCUUCUCAAUUCUGUGGGUAUGAAUAGGAUUUUACCUCAGACAACUUUUUCCAAAUUUUUUUUUAAAAGUGAAGAGAUGAUGGAGAAAAGGAGAGGAAGGAGUGCAGGAGUGAAAAAGAGAGCAAGGAAAGACAGGAGAGCAAGGAAAGACAGGAGAGCAAGGAGGGGGAGAAGGAAGAAGGAAGCCAGACAGGGAUCUCUCUCUCAUCUCUAUCACUUAGAAGCAAAAGCAAGCCCAGCAUUGUGGGUGCUGCGGAAGCAAGGAGGACACAGCACUUUCCCUCCUCUUAGGAAUCAAAGGAGACACAGAGUUGAGUGUUACAAUGUUCUAGGGCAGCCAUCCAAAGGUGGAUCGUUUUAAUAACCUAUAUCUAGGGUCCCAGACAUUUUGCAAUAUGAAACAUGGAGCAAACAUGAUUCCUUUGUAAGAGAGGCCUUGGGACCUAAAAUUGAGCAUGAAACAUGGAGGGAGAUACUCAGGAAAAAGAAGUAUACUGCAACUCAAAAAAUGAGUCAGCUACCAUGACAUUUCAGAGACAACCCAAACUAGGAAAUGGUGAACGACGCUGCCUGAGUCAUGACAAUUGUCUACAGGAAAGGUCAACAAAGCCCACGCCAAAUCUAGUCACCUUUCCACAAGUCUGGGCUGGAAAGUCCCAGACCAGACCAAGGAGAGACUCGCAUGGGGCUCCAGAGUUCCUUCAUAGAAUGGGACCAUUUUAAGACUGAGACCAUUAGGACUGCCAUUUAGUGACAUUUAUUGGACUACAAAAUUUAGAAAAUAAAAAAUUCUGAUCAGACAUCCAUCUAGGCAUGUAUUUCCUCUAGUUUUCUUUUCCCAGUGGUAUGCUUUGGGGAAAGAUGUGUAAUCUAUUUCUGUAGCAUUUCUCAUAUGAUUAUUGUGUAUGUUGCACACAGUGAUAUGUAUAAAGCGCUUAGCAGGAAGUCCAGCCUGCAUCAGAGGCUUAAUAAAUACUUAAUUACUAACUUCUGAAUGGGCAGAAAGGGGGCCUCUCUGUCAUCAGCUGAGCCAGCAGUAAAUACAGAUAAACAAAGAAUCAGACCCAUCGGGGUAGAAGCAUCCCGGUCUAUCUGUCCUGAUGGAGUACUGGGUCUUCAUCUAACAGGCACAUGGUUCACAUCUGUGUUAGCUGACCUUAAAAAGUAUCCAUUCAUUACAUUCUUCUACUCAAAGACACAAGCAUUUCCAAAGCACAGAAUCAUGAAAAACAAAACCAGGAGGUACAA
Long non-coding RNA from Heterocephalus glaber (naked mole-rat), 2629 nucleotides. RefSeq lists it as uncharacterized. Lineage: Eukaryota; Metazoa; Chordata; Mammalia; Rodentia; Bathyergidae. The record is from RefSeq and is a predicted model, not a curated record.